GAUGAAGAACGUAGCGAAAUGCGAUACUUGGUGUGAAUUGCAGAAUCCCGUGAACCAUCGAGUCUUUGAACGCAAGUUGCGCCCGAAGCCAUUAGGCCGAGGGCACGCCUGCCUGGGCGUCACACGUCGUUGCCCCCCCAUCUACUCCUUCGGGAUUGCGGGGGGCGGAUGAUGGCCUCCCGUGCGCCUCACCGCGCGGUUGGCAUAAAUGCCAAGUCCUCGGCGACGCACGCCACGACAAUCGGUGGUUGCGAAACCUCGGUUGCCCGUCGUGUGCGGUCGUCGCGCAUCGAGGGCUCGAAAAAAUUGCCGGGUUCCGGCUCGGCUUUCAACGCGACCCCAGGUCAGGCGGGGUUACCCGCUGAAUUUAAGCAUAUCAAUAAGCGGAGGA
RNAcentral lists this unclassified non-coding RNA (391 nucleotides) under soil metagenome. RNAcentral's name for it is "partial contains 5.8S ribosomal RNA, internal transcribed spacer 2, and large subunit ribosomal RNA". The stretch from base 1 to 122 matches the Rfam family "5.8S ribosomal RNA", at positions 35 to 154 of the family's 154-position model. The record is from RNAcentral.